GGAGGGAGAAAGCCAGGUACUGCGCGCAGCCGCAGUACAAGCUGUACUCGCCUGGCGCGUGGGCGUGGCUGCGGUACCGCGCGCGUACUACCCGCCACCCAUCUCUCUACUUGGCACAGCCGCACAGCGCGCCCAUCCCAUCCCAUCCCAUCAGAUCCGCCCGCCCUUCGCCAACAGGAUGGGAGUAGAUACGAUACGAUACGAGCUCAUUUGUCGCUGCUUCCUUCAUUUCAUCUCUUCUUCUCCGCUGCUAGGCUCGUCCUGGCCCUGUCCUAGCCGGCUAGCCCAUGCCUGGAAGAUGAUCGGCGACGGCAACAAGCGCGAUGCAAGGCAGUUCCGGCGGGGGCGAACUGAGAACACAUGAGAAUAAUGAGAUGAGAUUGCUCGCCUCGCGGUCGCCCCCGCAGGGCCUUCCUUGCUGCUGUUCCGCAGGGUGGCGGUCUGGGUGGCCGCCCGUCGUCCAGGGGAGUAUCGAGACACGUACGCACGAAUUCACCACCACGCGAUCCAGCAUGUUUUGCUGCUGCAGUGCUCUUCGUCACGGUUAUAUAUAUAUAUAUAUGUGAUCGAACUGCCAUGCAUGGUAAGAAAUCACUGCGCGCUUGCUAUUAAAAAAUAUAUCUGUGUGUUAGCGAUAACUUUAUUAAGCUGUACUCCUCUCAAUUCCAUAUUGCAAGCUAUUUUAGCUUUUCUUACGCACAUGCAUAGUUUUUGUUAGACGUCUAGAUUUGUAUACAUUGUGUCUAUGGGUAUUUUUUGGUUCUCGAUCUACUUUCCUACUACAACUUACUUAAGGUUAGUCAGCCAAAUUAAAGAACUAAUCUUAUUGUACAGAAAAAUAGAUAAAUUAUGUCAAGUUAUCAAACAAAGCUUAAAUACAUGCAUAGUUAAAAAAAUAUAUGCAUCUAUAAAAAUAGUGUUAACUUUUUUUAUAUAUAUACAUGUAUGUAGUUAUGUAUUAUGUCUAAAUAUAUGUAUCUAAAAGAACUAGGAUAAUAGGUUACAGUUUAAAAAUAGAGAUAAUAAGCAUGUUUGGUUCGGCUUUUUUCUGAAGGGUUUUUUCUAAGAAUCUAGCUUCCUAGAUAAUCUAUGGUCACAAGAAUCUAUAUAUCGUGAGGCUUGCACGUAGAGGAAGAUGAAGGGAUCGGUUUAGAAUUUAGGAGGUGGCGGAUUCGUCUCGUCAGGGUCCCGACUCAGAGGAUUCUACAUUCAUGUUGAUUUGAGUGAUCACAAAGGCCUUAAGUUGAUCCAAUUUUUCCACUGCAAGAUCAUCAUGUUUUGAUUCUUUCUUAAAUUCUUCAUUUUAUAUGGUAUCAAUUCUAGCAUUUAAUAGCUUUUUAUAGUAGGGGAUUAUUUUUUCGUUUCCUCUCAAGCUUUCUAGGAUCAUAUUCAACAUAUGUACGGGCAAUAUUCUUUACCAUCUGGGAGGUUUUGGGCUGCCGAUUCGAUAAAGAAGGCCCAACGUAAGAAUGAUCCGGUGCUUCACUAGUUGGGCUGGCUCAUCUGAUGGCGUGUGUUUAUUUGUUUCAUGUAUAGACUACUACAAUAUAUAGAAACGUGUGUUCCUAGAGGGGAAAAAAGGUCGAUUUGUACCUUCCUAAAUCAUAUCAUUAUAGUCUGAUUUGUUUCAUGUAUAGACUACCACCGCAGGGUUCAAGAGUGUUUGGCUUACACAUA
Molecule: long non-coding RNA, 1677 nt
Organism: Zea mays
Lineage: Eukaryota; Viridiplantae; Streptophyta; Magnoliopsida; Poales; Poaceae
Exons: 2
Source: RefSeq, a predicted model, not a curated record